GUGCCAGCAGCCGCGGUAAGACGGAGGAGGCUAGCGUUGUUCGGAAUUACUGGGCGUAAAGCGCACGCAGGUGGCAGGACAAGUCGGGUGUGAAAGCCCGGGGCUCAACCCCGGAUGUGCGCUCGGGACUGUCUUGCUAGAGACCGGAAGAGGAGAGCGGAAUUCCCAGUGUAGAGGUGAAAUUCGUAGAUAUUGGGAAGAACACCAGUGGCGAAGGCGGCUCUCUGGUCCGGUUCUGACACUCAAGUGCGAAAGCGUGGGGAGCAAACAGGAUUAGAUACCCUGGUAGUCCACGCCGUAAACGAUGCGCGCUAGAUGUCGGGGAGCUUGCUCUUCGGUGUCGAAGCCAACGCGAUAAGCGCGCCGCCUGGGGAGUACGGCCGCAAGGUUAAA
Molecule: ribosomal RNA, 393 nt
Filed under: uncultured bacterium
Lineage: Bacteria
Description: bacterial SSU rRNA
Rfam family: Bacterial small subunit ribosomal RNA
Source: RNAcentral